Molecule: non-coding RNA, 27 nt
Filed under: Mus musculus (house mouse)
Lineage: Eukaryota; Metazoa; Chordata; Mammalia; Rodentia; Muridae
Source: RNAcentral
UUGCUGAAAAGUACUCCUCAUCUACCC